RNAcentral lists this ribosomal RNA (1752 nucleotides) under Dictyocoela sp. RNAcentral describes it as "bacterial SSU rRNA". The stretch from base 1 to 1296 matches the Rfam family "Microsporidia small subunit ribosomal RNA". The record is from RNAcentral. Lineage: Eukaryota; Fungi; Microsporidia.
CGUUUAACGUGGAGCGGUGAAAGGCUCAGUAACGGGCGAUUUAUUUGAUCUCCUGGGACGGACAACAUCGGGAAACUGAUGGGAAAACGUCUAAGUUGCAGUUGUAUGAUUGUGACGUAAACCUUUGGUGCAGGAGAGUAAGAUGCCAUCCUAUCAGUUAGUAAGUAGGGUAAGGGCCUACUUAGACGAAGACGGGUACGGGGAAUGAGGGUUUGAUUCCGGAGAGGGAGCCUGAGAGACGGCUACCAGGACCAAGGUCAGCAGCAGGCGCGAAAAUUAUCGAAGCCCGCCGAGGGGCGAUAGUGAGGAGACGUGUAUAACGAAGUACGUGUAAAGAACGUGCUAACAACUGGAGGUCAAGUCUGGUGCCAGCAUCCGCGGUAAUUCCAGCUCCAGGGGUGUCUAUGAUGAUUGCUGCGAUUAAAAAGUCCGUAGUCAAUCUGUCUGACUUGCCUGCAAUGUGAUUGAUUAAAGAACGAGCAGGGCUAGGAAAGCAGAGAAUUAGGAGCGACCGAGGGCUAGAGUAUUGAAUGGCGAGAGGUGAAAUUUGAUGACCCAUUCAGGAGUGACAAAGGCGAAGGCACUAGUCAAGGGCGAAUCCGAUGAUCAAGGACGUAGGCUAGAGUUUCGAAAACGAUUAGAGACCGGAGUAGUUCUAGCAGUAAACUAUGCCGACGCCGUGGUAUGUAUUUAUGUAUUGCGGAAGAGAAAUCAAGUAAGGCUUUGGGGAGAGUACGCGCGCAAGCGAUAAAUUUAAAGGAAAUUGACGGAGGAACACCACAAGGAGUGGAGUGUGCGGCUUAAUUUGACUCAACGCGGGACAGCUUACCAGGCCCGAUAAUCGAGCGAGCGUAGUACGCGAUAGGUUAAAGAGUGGUGCAUGGCUGCUAUCGACAGUUGGGGUGACCUUAGGGUUAAUUCCGGCAAGUAGUGAGACCCCUGCAGAUAGUGGACAGGUAUUUUAAAAAUACAGGAAGGAAGGGACAAGAGCAGGUCAGUGAUGCCCUUAGAUGGCCUGGGCUGCACGCGCACUACAGUGGUCAUUAUAAGACGAAAGUAGAUAUAAAGAUGAUCGAGAGGGACUGAGCUUUGUAAGAGGCUCACGAACGAGGAAUUGCUAGUAAUCGUAGGCUCAUUAAGAUACGAUGAAUAUGUCCCUGUACCUUGUACACACCGCCCGUCGUUAUCGAAGAUGGAAUUGUGUGCGAACGAGCAAUAAGCGAGUGAGCGCAUAGUUCUAGAUGUGAUAAAAGUCGUAACAAGGCAACUGUAGGAGAACCUGUAGUUGGAUCAUACAGAUAUUGUCAGCAAGAGUUUUAUAGUAUUCCUUACGCAAGGGAUCGUUUGGUUCUAUGUUCGAAGAAGGUCGGAGCAGUAUUCGAUAAUGUAAGAUGAUUGUAAAAGUUGUCUUAUGUGACUGAAUUGAGUACAAAAUGCUCGGGUACUCCUUUGAAUUAAGCAUAUGAGUAAAGGAAGGAAAAGAAACUAACAAGGAUUCUCUUAUUAGUGGCGAAUGAACAGAGAAGAGCCCUAAGUGUAAUCAAAUUCUUGUAAUUUGAGAUGUCUAGUAUUAUAUAGUGUGAAUAUGCUGGAAAGCAUUGCCGUAGAGAGUUAUAGCCUCGUAGCACUAGUUAUAGGGAUGAGUAGUUGUGCUCGGUAAUGCACAAUGAAAUAGGUGGUAGUGUCCAUCUAAGGCUAAAUAUGACAUAGAAACCGAUAGUGAAUAAGUAAAGUGAUCGAAAAUGGAAUAGA